RNAcentral lists this transfer RNA (75 nucleotides) under Candidatus Desulfofervidus auxilii. RNAcentral describes it as "tRNA-Gly". It matches the Rfam family "tRNA". From Rfam's summary of the family: Transfer RNA (tRNA) molecules are approximately 80 nucleotides in length. Lineage: Bacteria; Pseudomonadati; Thermodesulfobacteriota; Candidatus Desulfofervidia; Candidatus Desulfofervidales; Candidatus Desulfofervidaceae. RNAcentral also lists the same sequence under 1 other name. The record is from RNAcentral.
GCGGGAAUAGCUCAGUGGUAGAGCACCACCUUGCCAAGGUGGGGGUCGCGGGUUCAAACCCCGUUUCCCGCUCCA